GAGGGUAUAGCUCAGUGGUAGAGUGCGUGCUUAGCAUGCAUGAGGUCCUGGGUUCAGUCCCCAGUACCUCCA
This 72-nucleotide transfer RNA is filed under the name Camelus bactrianus (Bactrian camel). It matches the Rfam family "tRNA". From Rfam's summary of the family: Transfer RNA (tRNA) molecules are approximately 80 nucleotides in length. Their secondary structure includes four short double-helical elements and three loops (D, anti-codon, and T loops). Further hydrogen bonds mediate the characteristic L-shaped molecular structure. tRNAs have two regions of fundamental functional importance: the anti-codon, which is responsible for specific mRNA codon recognition, and the 3' end, to which the tRNAs corresponding amino acid is attached (by aminoacyl-tRNA synthetases). tRNAs cope with the degeneracy of the genetic code in two manners: having more than one tRNA (with a specific anti-codon) for a particular amino acid; and 'wobble' base-pairing, i.e. permitting non-standard base-pairing at the 3rd anti-codon position. Lineage: Eukaryota; Metazoa; Chordata; Mammalia; Artiodactyla; Camelidae. The record is from Rfam by way of RNAcentral. RNAcentral also lists the same sequence under 1 other name.